This 3486-nucleotide long non-coding RNA is filed under the name Sus scrofa (pig). RNAcentral describes it as "lncRNA (ENSSSCG00045006417.1)". The record is from RNAcentral. Lineage: Eukaryota; Metazoa; Chordata; Mammalia; Artiodactyla; Suidae.
AUGAAGGCCGGGCGCCCAGCUCUGCCCUCGUCACCCCACCUCCAGGGAGGAAAUGUGGUUCCAGGCCCUCGCCGGCCUCCGUCUUCCCACCUGGACGGCAACUCUGAUCGGGCUGUUUGCACCUGCGAAAGGCCUCCCCGGAGACCAGCCCCUGGUCUGGCAGGGCCCCCGGCCUCCUUCCCACUGAAGUCGGCGUGGAGGUCGCUGGCCUCCAACGAUGAGCCCGCCCGAGCUUGGGGGGUCUGGGGAGGACCCGGCGCUUGGACCCCGUCUUCCAACAGAAGCCAGGGGACCGAGGAACCCGAAGCUCCUGCCCAACGGCUCAGUCGGCACGUCCCCGCCCUUCGAGAUCCAGCGUUUCCUUUUGUCGCCUCGUCAUGUGACGAAUGUCAUUCGAAACGCCCGUCAGUCCUCAGCGUUUAUCGCAAAAGCCACCCCCGCCUGGAUUCCCACCCCCGCCCCGGAAGCGAAGGUUGGCCGCGUUCAGCUUUUCGCCUGUCUUGGCCUUGCUUUGGUUUUGCGGGUUUGGCACUUGGCUCCCCGUUUCCAAAGGACCUGCCGUUGUGCUGUGCCCCUCAUCUCGUCAUCCUUCCCUCCAGGUGGCAGAGACGCAUCGAGCGCGCCCAGCGCCCCGUCCCCCAUAGAGGGAAGCCCCACUUUCCAUUCAACCUGACCCAACGUUCAUCCAUUAGUUAACGUAUGGACUAAAAGUUCUGAAUGAGGCUCACAGGUACAUCAGCUCCCCGCUGUGUCUCCGUCCUACUCUCUCCUCACCCCCAGGGCAGCCCCCGGGGUACGUUCUCCAGUCUCUUGUGUCUCCACCACCAGUUCCUCCCUGAGCUUUUCCGCAAAGCUGGGAGAACCCACCCUCCUGUUUUUCAUGGCGGGGGNNNNNNNNNGGGGGGGGGGGGGGGGGGCGGCUGGUCCAGCCCAGUUUUCUCUCUGGAUACAUCCAUCUGGACGGCGUUGUCUCACCCCUGCUCGCGGGGCUCCGUCUUCCCCUUUGAUGGCCCCGAUCCUGGUCCCACAUCUUCCGGCUUGUGGUUUUGAAACUGACAGCACUAAGGACUCAAACCCAGCCUAAACCCUGUUCGGGAGUUGAACCCACGGUUGUUAACAUAGAAUCCCUCACCCGGUGUCCGGACUUACGGAGGGUCAGCUUCUUUGUGUCCCAGCACAGAAGGAAAUCAAGUGAUAAGCAAGAAAUAGAUUUAUGAAGACAGGACGCUCGUGAGAGACGCCAGCGGGCAGGCAGGGGGCCUCUGCCCCGAGGGUCGGGUGGGCUCUGUUUCUAAUCCACCCGGAGUGGGGCUGGGGAAGGACCCCCGCUUCCUCCUUCGUCAAAGUGCUUUUUCCCUUCCGCAGAGGGCGGUCCUUCAACGCCUGCCCUUGGUGCUAAGGAUCUUCUUGGGGCUGAACUUGAACGCAGGCCUCAUUUUAAUGACCUGAGGCAUAGCUGGUGCUUUUAUUUGUGGUUUUGUUAAGCAAGCCGGCUUCUUUCUGAUGACUUUCUGGAGCGACCAUUAACCUCCGUGGUCUCCCGAAGCCCCCUAGGUUUCCCUGUCUCUCUGUGGUCCCCUCCUGGGACUUGCACAACUGCCCGUGUGACUGUCCUGCUCCAUGCCUGUCAGCUGUGUACUCUCCUUUGCUGUUUGGCCUCCGGGAAGUCAGCGGUGGGGGUGGGGGGGCUGUGCACUUUCUGAGUAAGGAGAGUCCCAUUUGUCCCUGGGUGGCGGCAGGGCUGGUCUUGGAAUUCAGUGUGUGGGAACUAUCUCAGCAUGCAUGCCCCACCCUCUCCCAGCCUCCAGGAUGCAGCUGAGAAGUUCAAGUCUACCAUGGCUCCUGGUCGCCUCUGUGACCUGCCCCUGAAAACUGUCCUUUCAACGGUUCAAAACGCAGUGGAGCUUUGCUGGGAUGAAGGCGGUGGCUCCACAUCGUGGGGGGGGGGGGGCCCUGGAGACCCCGAGGCUCGGACGGGUGGUCCCUCCCCUGCCUCCUGCCCCUCCCUCUCCCGCCUCGGCGCCUGCGGGGCCGGUCCUCCCCCACGCCCGUCCCCAUUCCUGCCCCAUUUUCUCUCUUUGAAUCCGUGUCCUCUCUCCAGCCCGUGUCCUCAGAGCUGCCUCCUCAAUCUUCCACCAUCAUCUAAUUAAUGUGCAAGAAUUUGUCUUUUUUGCUGAAUGCUCAUUUUCACGGGCCGUGUUCUUAUUUUGUGAAGGCAUUAUCUCCUCUCAUCUCUGAGUCGCUUUCUCCUUUUCUGGGGGGUUUUCCCCUCCGUUUACUCUCCGUUCCCUUUUCAGUUGGGGUCUGCGUUUCUGUCUCUUGCGCUGGAGGCGUCCUCUGGCGUUGGGGACCCGGGCUCUGUGGCUGUCUUGUGCUCGUGGCUCAGGUUCCGUGACUCUUGGUCUGAUCAUCUGGCCUGGCCCUGGGCCUUCGUCCCCACCCCCGCCACCCUCCCCGGGCCUCUCCAACCCCUGUGUCCUCGCAGUGGCGGUCCCGUCCCCUUUCUGGCUUUGCCCGUGUUGGGCACCGGUUUCCUCAGAUGAGCCCACACGUCCUGCGCCGCUGGGGGACCUCAGAACACACAUCCUUAGCUGUCCAGCCUCGUGACGGAUUUGGAUUCCAGCAGAUUCAGAUGUCGCUGUCGCUGGUCUUCUCCGUGGGCAGGAAGCAGGAUGGUCCGGGAGGGAGGCCGUGGGUGACUGAGGCGCCGUGUGCGUCCCCAGGCCCAGGACGCAGCGCAGGACACAGCAGACCCGGGAGGGGGCUAAGAAUGAGGACAGAGUUUGCUCUCAGGCAGGGCAGGAAAAGCAACUUUGAGAGCUAAAAUUUGUGUUUCUCUUUUCUGUAAGAGACCAAAUAAGAAGGUCCUGGAGUCAACAUAGUCCAAUUUAAGUAAAUGUUAAAAAAAAAAGUCGCUUUGCAGCGUGAAGAGUGGUGUAUUUAUCUGAGAAGUUGGUGUUUUCCUUCCCGAGGCAGUCAGUGGCCGCCCUGGGGCCGGGCUCCUUGCUGCUCGUGGGUGUUAAAAGCCUGUCUGCGUAUAAAUACCCGCUCCAUUGUUCACAGUCGUGUUAAACCCAUGGGCGGAAUUAAUGGAGUGUUUCCUUUCCUCUUUCUCCCCCUUUUGAGAUAAGCUGGUUAAUUGGGAGUUAAUUUGUUUUGGAAUGAUUUGGGCUUUUCUGUUUGAGGCCCGGGACUAAAAGGUCUUGCUUCCAAGGCAUAAAAUUUCCACUCUCAGCCUGAGAAACGCAGGAUGGUUGAAUGACAAAUGCUAUCAGGACUUGGACUUCACUGAUUUUUGCUUCCCCGAUUUCGGUACCCGUGGUCUGCUCCAGGCCUUUAAAACGUGGGAGAGGAACUUGGACCCUACUUGCAGCCAUGGCCUCCGGCUCCCCGCGGAGCAGCCUCGGGGCGGUGCAGGCAGCCUGGGGCCAGGCCAGCUCCCCGUUUUGGGUGGGGCAUAGCUGCAUGGGGCACGGCUGGUUCCUG